CCGCGUGUGUGAAGAAGGCCUUCGGGUUGUAAAGCACUUUCAGUAAGGAGGAAAGGGUUAAGUGUUAAUAGCACUUAGCUGUGACGUUACUUACAGAAGAAGCACCGGCUAACUCCGUGCCAGCAGCCGCGGUAAUACGGAGGGUGCGAGCGUUAAUCGGAAUUACUGGGCGUAAAGCGUACGCAGGCGGUUUGUUAAGCGAGAUGUGAAAGCCCCGGGCUCAACCUGGGAACUGCAUUUCGAACUGGCAAACUAGAGUGUGAUAGAGGGUGGUAGAAUUUCAGGUGUAGCGGUGAAAUGCGUAGAGAUCUGAAGGAAUACCGAUGGCGAAGGCAGCCACCUGGGUCAACACUGACGCUCAUGUACGAAAGCGUGGGGAGCAAACAGGAUUAGAUACCCUGGUAG
RNAcentral lists this ribosomal RNA (405 nucleotides) under uncultured bacterium. Its description in RNAcentral is "bacterial SSU rRNA". It matches the Rfam family "Bacterial small subunit ribosomal RNA", at positions 397 to 793 of the family's 1533-position model. The record is from RNAcentral.